ACAGCCGCUCCGGGUGUGUGCACCAGGCAGGGCCAGGAGGGAGAGUGGGAGCCCCGGCAGACGUCGGAACUCUGGGGAAUAAAGAUACAGCAGCAUGUAUUCCUAGAAAGAUGAGCAAGAAAAGGGGUGGAAAUGGCACGAAGACAGCUUUGAUACAAGGCGCUCUGCUCGGGUGGAUGGAACC
Non-coding RNA from Microcebus murinus (gray mouse lemur), 184 nucleotides. The record is from RefSeq and is a predicted model, not a curated record. NCBI's taxonomy places the organism in Eukaryota, Metazoa, Chordata, Mammalia, Primates, Cheirogaleidae.